RNAcentral lists this ribosomal RNA (253 nucleotides) under uncultured bacterium. Its description in RNAcentral is "partial 16S ribosomal RNA". It matches the Rfam family "Bacterial small subunit ribosomal RNA", at positions 524 to 776 of the family's 1533-position model. The record is from RNAcentral.
UACGUAGGGGGCAAGCGUUGUCCGGAAUUAUUGGGCGUAAAGAGCGUGUAGGCGGUUCGAUAAGUUUGCUGUAAAAGUCGGGGGCUCAACCCCCGAAAGCCGGUGAAUACUGUCGGACUAGAGUACGGAAGAGGCGAGUGGAAUUCCUGGUGUAGCGGUGAAAUGCGCAGAUAUCAGGAGGAACACCAAUUGCGAAGGCAGCUCGCUGGGACGUAACUGACGCUGAGACGCGAAAGCGUGGGGAGCAAACAGG